This 1037-nucleotide ribosomal RNA is filed under the name uncultured bacterium. Its description in RNAcentral is "bacterial SSU rRNA". It matches the Rfam family "Bacterial small subunit ribosomal RNA", at positions 12 to 1043 of the family's 1533-position model. The record is from RNAcentral.
UUUGAUCCUGGCUCAGAUUGAACGCUGGCGGAAUGCUUUACACAUGCAAGUCGAGCGGCAGCGCGGGGCAACCCUGGCGGCGAGCGGCGAACGGGUGAGUAAUACAUCGGAACGUACCCUGUCGUGGGGGAUAACUAACCGAAAGGUUAGCUAAUACCGCAUACGACCUGAGGGUGAAAGCGGGGGAUCGCAAGACCUCGCGCGAUAGGAGCGGCCGAUGUCAGAUUAGCUAGUUGGUGAGGUAAAGGCUCACCAAGGCGACGAUCUGUAGCGGGUCUGAGAGGACGGCCCGCCGCACUGGAACUGAGACACGGUCCAGACUCCUACGGGAGGCAGCAGUGGGGAAUUUUGGACAAUGGGGGCAACCCUGAUCCAGCCAUUCCGCGUGAGUGAAGAAGGCCUUCGGGUUGUAAAGCUCUUUCGGCAGGAACGAAACGGUCCUAGUUAAUAACUGGGGCUAAUGACGGUACCUGAAGAAGAAGCACCGGCUAACUACGUGCCAGCAGCCGCGGUAAUACGUAGGGUGCGAGCGUUAAUCGGAAUUACUGGGCGUAAAGCGUGCGCAGGCGGUUUUGUAAGACAGAUGUGAAAUCCCCGGGCUUAACCUGGGAACUGCGUUUGUGACUGCAAGACUUGAGUGUGGCAGAGGGGGGUGGAAUUCCACGUGUAGCAGUGAAAUGCGUAGAGAUGUGGAGGAACACCGAUGGCGAAGGCAGCCCCCUGGGUCGACACUGACGCUCAUGCACGAAAGCGUGGGUAGCAAACAGGAUUAGAUACCCUGGUAGUCCACGCCCUAAACGAUGCGAACUAGGUGUUGGAGAAGGAGACUUGUUUAGUACCGCAGCUAACGCGUGAAGUUCGCCGCCUGGGGAGUACGGUCGCAAGAUUAAAACUCAAAGGAAUUGACGGGGACCCGCACAAGCGGUGGAUGAUGUGGAUUAAUUCGAUGCAACGCGAAAAACCUUACCUCCCUUGACAUGCCUGGAAUCCUGCUGAGAGGCGGGAGUGCUCGAAAGAGAACUGGGACACAGGUGCUG